GGAAGUAAAAGUCGUGACAAGGUUUCCGUAGGUGAACCUGCGGAAGGAUCAUUACUGAGAACUUGCCCCUUGGGGUAGAUCUCCCACCCAUUGUUUACAUACUUUGUUGCUUUGGCAGGCCUGCCCUUUGGGCUACUGGCCUCGGCUAGUUAGUGCCUGCCAGAGAACCAACACUCUGAAUCAUUUAUUGUCUGAGUACUAUAUAUAUAAUAGUUAAAACUUUCAACAACGGAUCUCUUGGUUCUG
RNAcentral lists this unclassified non-coding RNA (246 nucleotides) under plant metagenome. Its description in RNAcentral is "partial contains small subunit ribosomal RNA, internal transcribed spacer 1, and 5.8S ribosomal RNA". The stretch from base 1 to 54 matches the Rfam family "Eukaryotic small subunit ribosomal RNA", at positions 1778 to 1831 of the family's 1831-position model. The record is from RNAcentral.